RNAcentral lists this ribosomal RNA (409 nucleotides) under uncultured bacterium. RNAcentral's name for it is "bacterial SSU rRNA". It matches the Rfam family "Bacterial small subunit ribosomal RNA", at positions 509 to 916 of the family's 1533-position model. The record is from RNAcentral.
CAGCCGCCGCGGUAAUUCGUAGGGGGCAAGCGUUGUCCGGAAUCAUUGGGCGUAAAGAGCGUGUAGGUGGCCCGAUAAGUCUGCCGUGAAAGUCCAAGGCUCAACCUUGGGAUGCCGGUGGAUACUGUCGGGCUAGAGUCCGGAAGAGGCGAGUGGAAUUCCUGGUGUAGCGGUGAAAUGCGCAGAUAUCAGGAGGAACACCAAUGGCGAAGGCAGCUCGCUGGGACGGUACUGACGCUGAGACGCGAAAGCGUGGGGAGCAAACAGGAUUAGAUACCCUGGUAGUCCACGCUGUAAACGAUGGGCACUAGGUGUGGGGGGUGUCGACUCCCUCCGUGCCGACGCUAACGCAUUAAGUGCCCCGCCUGGGGAGUACGGCCGCAAGGCUAAAACUUAAAGGAAUUGACGG